UGACCUAAUACAUGCAAGUCGAACGCAUUUGUGGUUGAAAUGAUAUAGAAGUAACUUGUUCAGAUUUGAUUUUCAACAUUGCAAUGAGUGGCGAACGGGUGAGUAACACGUGGAACCUACCUCUUAGCAGGGAUAACAUUUGGAAACAAUGCUAAUACCGUAUGAUAAUUAAACGCAUGGUUUAGUUUAAAGAUGGUCUUGCUAUCACUAAGAGAUGGUCCCGCGGUGUAUUAGUUAGUUGGUGAGGUAAUGGCUCACCAAGACAAUGAUACAUAGCCGAGUUGAGAGACUGACCGGCCACAAUGGGUCUGAGACACGGCCCAUACUCCUACGGGAGGCAGCAGUAGGGAAUCUUCCACAAUGGACGAAAGUCUGAUGGAGCAACGCCGCGUGUGUGAUGAAGGGUUUCGGCUCGUAAAACACUGUUGUAAGAGAAGAAUGACAUUGAGAGUAACUGUUCAAUGUGUGACGGUAUCUUACCAGAAAGGAACGGCUAAAUACGUG
Molecule: ribosomal RNA, 504 nt
Filed under: uncultured bacterium
Lineage: Bacteria
Description: bacterial SSU rRNA
Rfam family: Bacterial small subunit ribosomal RNA
Source: RNAcentral